Long non-coding RNA from Mirounga angustirostris (Northern elephant seal), 2557 nucleotides. RefSeq lists it as uncharacterized. NCBI's taxonomy places the organism in Eukaryota, Metazoa, Chordata, Mammalia, Carnivora, Phocidae. The record is from RefSeq and is a predicted model, not a curated record. The transcript has 4 exons.
GGGAGCAUGAGCCGGGGUGGGGGGUUGCAGAAGGAGAGAGAACCAGGCUCCCUGACUCAGGGCUCGAUCCUAGGACCCCAGGAUCACGACCUGAGCCAAAGGCAGGUGCUUAACUGACUGAGCCACCCAGGCGUCCAUCAUCACUUUUAAGGGAAUCACUGCAUGUAUGUAACGAGGCAGGAAGAAUGCCUGUGGCCAGAUGGCUCCAGUUUUCUUGCUUGUUCCUGCACCAUCUGUGAGCUCAGUGGGUCAGGGCCCUGGGCAAAGAGGCCAAGGACAUUACUGGUCACCUCUCCAGGCCUUGGUCUCUCAACUGUAAAACCAGGGGGGUGUAAAGAAAUAAUUCUGAAGGUCUCUCUCAGCUGUUGUGAUGUGACUUUUGAGCAGGUGAAUGAUUAUUUCUAUUCUCUGGUGAAGUUGUCCCGAUUUGCCUGCAGCAGCAACCUAGGGAUGAGUGCUGUGCUCUGGGCAGGGUGAGGGGCUGAAGGAAGAGAAGGAGUGGAGAGCUGACAGGGGCCAGGGCCUGUGGGGGGAGCCAGAGCCCCACUGGACAGGAGUGUUGACAUCCCAAGCCCAUGCCAGCAGCCGAAAACUCCUGGGCCCGCAUGUUCUCCUUCCCAAGGGACAGCCUACUUAGUGUGAAUGAUAUCUGUGGGAGCUUCACUCCGAGGUCUGAAGCAAACACAGCCCACUGGUUACCGGCCGAGGUGACAUCUUGAGACCACCCACCUAGCUGGGCUUUUGCGUUCUGGCUGCCCUGUCCGAGAUGGUAGCCACUGGCUACAUGUGUUUGUUUGUUUGUUUUUAAUUUACAUUUCAAUUCAGAUGAAAUAAAAUUAAGAAGUCAAUUCUUAAUUUUGAGUACCCGUGUACACAGGUAGCUUUGGCUUGUGGCUACCAUAUUGGAGGAUUCAAGUAAAGAACAUUUCCAUCAUCACAGAAAGUUCUAUUGAAUGUCUCUGGUCUAGAAUGCCACAGAGUGCUCAAACACCGAAGAAAUAUGAAAUGCAUCUCCUGACUUCCUCUUCUUAUAUUACCUUUCUUUCUUUGCUUGCAUUAGAAUGGCCUAGCAAUAUAUUCCUUAGAGGCUGAAAAAGAUGAGAUGUUUGAUAUCAAAGACCUGGGUUCACAUCCCAGCUCCCCCAUGUCAAGUUUACAAGAGUCACUUCAUCUGUUUCUGUGUCAGUAAAAUGAGGAUAAUAAACCACCUCCCCAGGUUGUGAAGAUCAGGUGGGAUAAUAAACAUAAAGUUAUUGAUAAGCCCUAUGCACUGUACAAAUUCUCUCUAAAUGAUGCACAAAGAGGAGAAGGAGGGGAGAUUGUCAUUAGAGUUCUGUCAAAAAAGGGGUGGGUUUUGGAAUAAUAUUGGUGGCUUUUCAGAGGGGGCUGUAAAGGUAAAAUCAGGACACUUUCCUUGAGGGGGAAAGCACCUACCUCCCACUCCCCACUCCUUAGGGGGUCUUGGUGCAAACAUAAUAGGCCUAGAAGAGGCAUGACCUUUUGAUUUUAUAAUGCAAGGUCGAGGGCCUUCUGAGCCCCGGAACUGUAAACACACACUGUGAACAUGAACUAGGAGUCUCUGGAGGUACUCAGAAGAUUAUCACAAGGCUCACCGUUUGUCUCUCAAGGAGAUGAAAGAUGAGAGAAGUUUUCCUUCUUCCUUCUUCCACCUUACUUCAUAAAUUCAUAUGAAAUUGUGUCCCAACUCCAAUCACUUUUGAGUCACCUUCCAUGUGAGUCUGUUGGUUUUUACCUAACAAUAAAUUGUGUUUGCUCUCUUCUGUAUGGGUAUGAAGGGGUCUUUUUGUUGGCAAGAUUGUUUUCUUUCCCCAGCAGGACCAGAGAAUACUUGGAUUUCCGAUGUGGAAUGGAGCUACCAAAGGGAAAGCACCCUUCUGGAGGAGAUGGGCUCAGAGGAAGGAAGGGCUGGGUUUCUGGCUGACUUUCACAUCUGGGAGGCUGCAUAUGAGACCCAGGCCAGAGGAGAGCAGCAGCUCUGGUAUCCCGAGGCCCAGCAAUGACACAGCCCAGGAAGGGAAAGGACCUCCUACAUGGUUCUUCAUGGUAUGUGGUGUCUCUUGUUGCAACAAGCGCCAAAGACCCCGACUUGGAUUGGCCGCAGGUGUGUUCUGGUGGUAUUGACUACAGCUGCUGACAGGCCCAAAGGGAAGACGGCCUGCGCUGAUCCGCUGCACGGGAGGGGCCCCCUGGAUACCUGCCACAUCCAAUGCAGAAGCGCUCCCCGAAACCAUCUGGCAAGGCAGAGCCACGUACACAGAGCAGCCCAGAAGAGGCGCACUGAGCCCAGCCUGGGAGUUUGGAGGAAUGAUGGAUGCACAAGUCUUGCAUGAUGGACAAGAACAAGCUGAUGAAAGGAGAGAAGGACGCUCUGGGCAGAGGGAACAGUGUGGAAAAGUAGAGACAAGAUCAAACCAUCCAGCCAUGUGGAUUCAAACAGAGGUAGUCCAAGAACUGGUCCAGUGGGCAGUCUCCUAGUUCCAAGUAACAACAGAAGACGGCUGGAAUAGUUUAAAUGUUUGCUGCUCAAAGAGUGGUA